CCUACGGGAGGCUGCAGUGAGGAAUAUUGGUCAAUGGGCGCGAGCCUGACCCAGCCAAGUAGCGUGAAGGAUGACUGCCCUACGGGUUGUAAACUUCUUUUAUAAAGGAAUAAAGUUAGGCACGUGUGCCUUUUUGUAUGUACUUUAUGAAUACGGAUCGGCUAACUCCGUGCCAGCAGCAGCUGUAAUACGGAGGAUCCGAGCGUUAUCCGGAUUUAUUGGGUUUAAAGGGAGCGUAGAUGGGUUGUUAAGUCAGUUGUGAAAGUUUGCGGCUCAACCGUAAAACUGCAAUUGAUACUGGCAGUCUUGAGUACAGGUGAGGUAGGCGGAAUUCGUGGGGUAGCGGUGAAAUGCUUAGAUAUCACGAAGAACUCCGAUUGCGAAGGCAGCUUACUAAACUGCCACUGACAUUGAUGCUCGAAAGUGUGGGUAUCAAACAGGAUUAGAUACCCGGGUAGUC
This 460-nucleotide ribosomal RNA is filed under the name uncultured bacterium. RNAcentral describes it as "partial 16S ribosomal RNA". It matches the Rfam family "Bacterial small subunit ribosomal RNA", at positions 338 to 795 of the family's 1533-position model. The record is from RNAcentral.